Molecule: ribosomal RNA, 1014 nt
Filed under: Escherichia coli
Lineage: Bacteria; Pseudomonadati; Pseudomonadota; Gammaproteobacteria; Enterobacterales; Enterobacteriaceae
Description: partial 23S ribosomal RNA
Rfam family: Bacterial large subunit ribosomal RNA
Source: RNAcentral
CAUAGGUUAAUGAGGCGAACCGGGGGAACUGAAACAUCUAAGUACCCCGAGGAAAAGAAAUCAACCGAGAUUCCCCCAGUAGCGGCGAGCGAACGGGGAGCAGCCCAGAGCCUGAAUCAGUGUGUGUGUUAGUGGAAGCGUCUGGAAAGGCGCGCGAUACAGGGUGACAGCCCCGUACACAAAAAUGCACAUGCUGUGAGCUCGAUGAGUAGGGCGGGACACGUGGUAUCCUGUCUGAAUAUGGGGGGACCAUCCUCCAAGGCUAAAUACUCCUGACUGACCGAUAGUGAACCAGUACCGUGAGGGAAAGGCGAAAAGAACCCCGGCGAGGGGAGUGAAAAAGAACCUGAAACCGUGUACGUACAAGCAGUGGGAGCACGCUUAGGCGUGUGACUGCGUACCUUUUGUAUAAUGGGUCAGCGACUUAUAUUCUGUAGCAAGGUUAACCGAAUAGGGGAGCCGAAGGGAAACCGAGUCUUAACUGGGCGUUAAGUUGCAGGGUAUAGACCCGAAACCCGGUGAUCUAGCCAUGGGCAGGUUGAAGGUUGGGUAACACUAACUGGAGGACCGAACCGACUAAUGUUGAAAAAUUAGCGGAUGACUUGUGGCUGGGGGUGAAAGGCCAAUCAAACCGGGAGAUAGCUGGUUCUCCCCGAAAGCUAUUUAGGUAGCGCCUCGUGAAUUCAUCUCCGGGGGUAGAGCACUGUUUCGGCAAGGGGGUCAUCCCGACUUACCAACCCGAUGCAAACUGCGAAUACCGGAGAAUGUUAUCACGGGAGACACACGGCGGGUGCUAACGUCCGUCGUGAAGAGGGAAACAACCCAGACCGCCAGCUAAGGUCCCAAAGUCAUGGUUAAGUGGGAAACGAUGUGGGAAGGCCCAGACAGCCAGGAUGUUGGCUUAGAAGCAGCCAUCAUUUAAAGAAAGCGUAAUAGCUCACUGGUCGAGUCGGCCUGCGCGGAAGAUGUAACGGGGCUAAACCAUGCACCGAAGCUGCGGCAGCGACGCUUAUG